Molecule: ribosomal RNA, 497 nt
Filed under: uncultured bacterium
Lineage: Bacteria
Description: partial 16S ribosomal RNA
Rfam family: Bacterial small subunit ribosomal RNA
Source: RNAcentral
GAUGAACGCUGGCGGCGUGCCUAAUACAUGCAAGUCGAGCGAACAGACGAGGAGCUUGCUUCUCUGGUGUUAGCAGCGGACGGGUGAGUAACACGUGGAUAACCUACCUAUAAGACUGGGAUAACUUCGGGAAACCGGAGCUAAUACCGGAUAAUAUCUUGAACCACAUGGUUCAAGAGUGAAAGACGGUCUUGCUGUCACUAAUAGAUGUCUCCGCGCUUCAUUGGCUAGUUGGUGAGGUAACGGCUUACCAAGGCAACGAUGCAUAGCCGACCUGAGAGGGGGAUCGGCCACACUGGAACUGGGACACGGUCCAGAUUCCUACGGGAGGAAGCAGUAGGGAAUCUUCGGCAAUGGGGGAAAGCCUGACGGAGCAACGCCGCGUGGGUGAGGAAGGUCUUCGGAUCGUAAAACCUGUUUAUUAGGGAAGAACAUAUGUGGAAGGAAAUGUGCACAUCGUGACGGUAACUAAUCAGAAAGCCACGGCUAACUACGUG